Long non-coding RNA from Acinonyx jubatus (cheetah), 1143 nucleotides. RefSeq lists it as uncharacterized. Lineage: Eukaryota; Metazoa; Chordata; Mammalia; Carnivora; Felidae. The transcript has 3 exons. The record is from RefSeq and is a predicted model, not a curated record.
CUCCCUCCCCCCCCCACCCCGCCAACCCAGAGAAGUGCGUGAGGUUCCACGCAUUAGUCCUGAUGCUAAUGCUCGUGCUUAGGAAAGAGUAGUAUAUAUACGCAGCCGUGUGGGAGAGCCCUCAAGCAGACAGAGAAGGUCCAGCGUGAGGGUUGGCGGAAGCGAUGAUAAGAGGCAGGAACCACAGCUGGAGGUCAGAAGUCUGAAAAUGAGACGCAUGGGGCUAAAAUCGAGGUGUUGACAGAGCCGAGCUCCUUCUGGGAAGAAUUUUGCCUUUUUUAGCCUCAAGAGGCUCCCUAUUCCUGGGCAGGCGGUCCCCUUCUGGCAACGAUGGUAUGCCAACUGCUACUUUCUCCUCUGAACACCUCCUUCUUGGAUGCUGACUAUUGUCUCUUUUUCCCUCACUUCUAGAGUCUCCUAUGGUCACAUUGGACCCUCCCGGAUAAUCCAGGACAAUCUCCCCAUCUCGAGAUCCUUAACUUAAUCACAUCUGCAAAGUUCCUUUUUCCCCGUGAACUCAUCUAUUCACAGAUUCCAGGAAUUACAAUGUGGACGUUUCUGGGGACCAUUAUUCUGCCUACCACACAUGCCCCUCUUUCCAGCCAUCUUUUUCUCUAUCUAGUAUCACAGUAUUUAAAUACGUCGUAAGUCAGAAUGAUUUGCAAAUCCUCCCCCCUCUUCCAUGUGAGGAGAAAAGAUAUGUGUCAUGAUGAUAACACCUACCAGUCCUGACAGCAAUAAUGAGAAUAACGGUUCACAUUUAUUCAGUUAUUAAACCAGUGUUCUAUGUAACUCGUAUGUACCCAUUCAUUUUAAUUUUUUCGAGUUUAUUUAUUUUGAGAGAGAGAGGGAGAAAGAGUGCGUGUGCAUGAGCGGGGGGGGGGGGGGGCAGAGAGAGAAGAAGAGAGAGAAUCCCCAGUAGGCUCGAGGCUGACAACACAGGGCCUGACACAAGGUUUGAUCCCACGAACCAUGAGAUCACGAUCUGAACUGAAAUCAAGCGUUGGAUGCUUAACUGACUGAGCCACCCAGGCGCCCCCUUACUCAUUUAAUAACCCUGCCACAGCCAGAAUGUUUGUGUUUCCCCCAAAAUCCGUAUGUCGAAAUCCUAACUCCCAAGAUAAUGCUAUGAUGCUUUGGGAA